RNAcentral lists this transfer RNA (69 nucleotides) under bovine gut metagenome. It matches the Rfam family "tRNA", at positions 5 to 66 of the family's 71-position model. Rfam says of the family: Transfer RNA (tRNA) molecules are approximately 80 nucleotides in length. Their secondary structure includes four short double-helical elements and three loops (D, anti-codon, and T loops). Further hydrogen bonds mediate the characteristic L-shaped molecular structure. tRNAs have two regions of fundamental functional importance: the anti-codon, which is responsible for specific mRNA codon recognition, and the 3' end, to which the tRNAs corresponding amino acid is attached (by aminoacyl-tRNA synthetases). tRNAs cope with the degeneracy of the genetic code in two manners: having more than one tRNA (with a specific anti-codon) for a particular amino acid; and 'wobble' base-pairing, i.e. permitting non-standard base-pairing at the 3rd anti-codon position. The record is from RNAcentral.
GGCAUUAACUCAGCGGAAGAGUGUCUGCUUUGCAAGCAGAAGGUCAUGGGUUCAAAUCCCAUAUGUUCC